Molecule: ribosomal RNA, 243 nt
Filed under: uncultured bacterium
Lineage: Bacteria
Description: partial 16S ribosomal RNA
Rfam family: Bacterial small subunit ribosomal RNA
Source: RNAcentral
UCUGCCUACGGGACGCAGCAGUAGGGAAUCUUCCACAAUGGACGAAAGUCUGAUGGAGCAACGCCGCGUGAGUGAAGAAGGGUUUCGGCUCGUAAAGCUCUGUUGGUAGUGAAGAAAGAUAGAGGUAGUAACUGGCCUUUAUUUGACGGUAAUUACUUAGAAAGUCACGGCUAACUACGUGCCAGCAGCCGCGGUAAUACGUAGGUGGCAAGCGUUUUCCGGAUUUAUUGGGCGGAAAGCGCG